Molecule: ribosomal RNA, 498 nt
Filed under: uncultured bacterium
Lineage: Bacteria
Description: partial 16S ribosomal RNA
Rfam family: Bacterial small subunit ribosomal RNA
Source: RNAcentral
AUUGAACGCUGGCGGCAUGCCUUACACAUGCAAGUCGAACGGUAACAGGUCUUCGGAUGCUGACGAGUGGCGAACGGGUGAGUAAUACAUCGGAACGUGCCUAGUAGUGGGGGAUAACUACUCGAAAGAGUGGCUAAUACCGCAUGAGAUCUACGGAUGAAAGCAGGGGAUCGCAAGACCUUGUGCUACUAGAGCGGCCGAUGGCAGAUUAGGUAGUUGGUGGGAUAAAAGCUUACCAAGCCGACGAUCUGUAGCUGGUCUGAGAGGACGAUCAGCCACGCUGGGACUGAGACACGGGCCAGACUCCUACGGGAGGCAGCAGUGGGGAAUUUUGGACAAGGGGCGCAAGCCUGAUCCAGCAAUGCCGCGUGCAGGAUGAAGGCCUUCGGGUUGUAAACUGCUUUUGUACGGAACGAAAAGCCCCGGGUUAAUACCCUGGGGUCAUGACGGUACCGUAAGAAUAAGCACCGGCUAACUACGUGCCAGCCGCCGCCGUAA